AGAGUUUGAUCCUGGCUCAGGACGAACGCUGGCGGCGUGCUUAACACAUGCAAGUCGAGCGAGGCCCUCCUUCGGGGGGUGCCCUAGCGGCGAACGGGUGAGUAACACGUGGGCAACCUGCCCUCAGCUCUGGGAUAACUCCAAGAAAUUGGUGCUAAUACCGGAUGUGACCGCUGACCGCAUGGUCUGGUGGUGGAAAGAUUCAUCGGCUGAGGAUGGGCCCGCGGCCUAUCAGCUUGUUGGUGGGGUCACGGCCCACCAAGGCGACGACGGGUAGCCGGCCUGAGAGGGUGACCGGCCACACUGGGACUGAGACACGGCCCAGACUCCUACGGGAGGCAGCAGUGGGGAAUAUUGCGCAAUGGGCGAAAGCCUGACGCAGCGACGCCGCGUGAGGGAUGACGGCCUUCGGGUUGUAAACCUCUUUCAGUAGGGACGAAGCGAGAGUGACGGUACCUACAGAAGAAGCACCGGCCAACUACGUGCCAGCAGCCGCGGUAAUACGUAGGGUGCAAGCGUUGUCCGGAAUUAUUGGGCGUAAAGAGCUCGUAGGCGGUCUGUCACGUCGGCUGUGAAAACCCGAGGCUCAACCUCGGGCCUGCAGUCGAUACGGGCAAACUAGAGUACUGCAGGGGAGACUGGAAUUCCUGGUGCAGCGGUGAAAUGCGCAGAUAUCAGGAGGAACACCGGUGGCGAGGGCGGGUCUCUGGGCAGUAACUGACGCUGAGGAGCGAAAGCGUGGGGAGCGAACAGGAUUAGAUACCCUAGUAGUCC
Molecule: ribosomal RNA, 774 nt
Filed under: uncultured bacterium
Lineage: Bacteria
Description: bacterial SSU rRNA
Rfam family: Bacterial small subunit ribosomal RNA
Source: RNAcentral